UUCUUUCAGUCUCUCAACCUCUCUCUCUAACUCUUUUACCUUUUCGUUAACCAGUUUGACUUUCUCAUUCUCUGCAAUACGCAUGUCUCUUUCUCUUUCAAAUAUGAUUUCCUUCUCAAUCUCUUUCAAUCUCUCAAUCUCUCGUUCUAACGCUUUUAUCGUUUCUUCUGCCUGUUCCACUUUCUUCUUCAUUUCUUGUCUUUCCAAUUCUGCUUUUCUCUUCCUUUCCAUCUCCCUUUCUCUCUCUCUUUCCCUCUCUCUUCCUGUUUCAAUAGGUUUGUUGUUCCAGGCCAGUCUUGGUCGCUGAUCCUCCAUGACUUUCUGCCAUAGCCUCAAUCUCUCAAUCUCUUGCUUCAUUUUAAAAGGAGGGGGUAAGAAGACAGUCCCAGUAGGAGACGGAGAUCGUCCAGAAGAAGAAGAGGUGUCCAUCUCGUCAGAGACUUCAGGAAAGGUCUACACGUUUUAUUUCUGGAAAAUAAAGAGAUGCCUUCGUUCAGCAACAAUGUGUGUUUCUAUGUUUCUGUCACUAGAUGGUGCCAUUGUACACAACAUUUACUCACCAGGUCAGUGAAUUCAGAAACAGUCUUCAGAGUUGAGUCCUCAAGCUCUAGCCUACAACCCAUCAUGCAUCAGCACAACUAAUAUAAUAAUAUCUCAUCACAGUACACCUGGAUUGUGUUCACAAAGUGUUUCAGGGUAGGAGUGCUGAUCUAGGAUCAGGUUGCCUCCUGUCCAUCAAAACGUAUUCAGUUUAAUUUAAAAGACCAAACUGAUUAUUGAUCAGCACUCCUUCUAUGAGACUUUGUGAAUAUGAGCCUAUGUGAAAGAACCUUUCUGGCAUAUGCUGGCUAGACAGUACACAGACAAUUCAGAUAGUCCGACAGACAGACAGAAGAGUAGAUACAGAUGGAGUGAUUGAUAGCAACAGAAAUAACGAAGCGGAUGGUUAAUGUAUUGUAAACUUUUGUAAAUAUUUGACUCACCUCAAAUCACACGUGUCAAACCUCAGUUUUAGUGUUGAACCGAAUAAUAUCCUCGGCAUUAACUUUCUCUGGUCUGGAGCUGUAUUGUUGCGUCAUUUGGAACGCUUGAGCGUCAUAAUCCGUUCACCGCGCCUGCUUGAUUGACAGCUAGGGGUUCUCCUGCGCAUCAGUGUCC
RNAcentral lists this long non-coding RNA (1158 nucleotides) under Oncorhynchus mykiss (rainbow trout). Its description in RNAcentral is "lncRNA (ENSOMYG00000002466.2)". The record is from RNAcentral. Lineage: Eukaryota; Metazoa; Chordata; Actinopteri; Salmoniformes; Salmonidae.